UUGUACAUCACACAUUUUCACUAAUUAAAUUAAUUAAAAGACCUUUGAUAUCGUAAAAUCGAAUAAUAUACAAACGUCGAAUAUUUAGCGCCACAAGAAACGGCCGUUUUACAAUACUGUUUCUCGCUUCUACCUUUUCUCCUACAAAAUUAUUGUUCACUCUCUCCAUCUACCGCAUUUAUCCCUAUAGUGUAGUGACAAUUUGACGUGAGAAAACGUUGAUGAAUACGAGGAUCGUAAAGUUCGCAUAAUUCGCUACAAAAAAAGCUGUUUUAUUUAAAAAAUCUUACAGAUUUGUCGUGAAGAUAUAUAAAACACAGACAAAUCUUUCAACAGAGAUAUUUUCUUAGUUAAACUAAGCCAGGCAGCUGCAACGCACUCAGUUGGGGCGAACACGAGACAUAUACUUGCAAAAGGAUUUUGGAAUUAGGCUUCGUGCCGUAGCAAUUACGCACCGACAGCAACAAGUAACAUAAUCGAGAGUCUAUCAAUGGAGGUGUACCUCAAUGAAACCGAAUGUCUCAUGUCGAGUUUAUACACAAACUAAAUAAACGUAUUUUAAGAAAACUUUA
This 572-nucleotide long non-coding RNA is filed under the name Rhagoletis pomonella (apple maggot). RNAcentral's name for it is "uncharacterized LOC118732662, transcript variant X1". Lineage: Eukaryota; Metazoa; Arthropoda; Insecta; Diptera; Tephritidae. The record is from RNAcentral.